AGUGAACGCUGGCGGUAGGCCUAACACAUGCAAGUCGAACGGAAGCACAGUAAGAGCUUGCUCUUACGGGUGGCGAGUGGCGGACGGGUGAGGAAUACAUCGGAAUCUACUUUUUCGUGGGGGAUAACGUAGGGAAACUUACGAUAAUACCGCAUCCGACCUACGGGUGAAAGCAGGGGAUCUUCGGACCUUGCGCGAAUGAAUGAGCCGAUGUCGGAUUAGAUAGUUGGCGGGGUAAAGGCCCACCAAGGCGCCGAUCCGUAGCCGGUCUGUGAGGAUGAUCGGCCACACUGGAACUGAGACACGGUCCAGACUCCUACGGGACGCAGCAGUGGGGAAUAUUGGACAAUGGGCGCAAGCCUGAUCCAGCCAUACCGCGUGGGUGAAGAAGGCCUUCGGUUUGUAAAGCCCUUUUGUUGGGAAAGAAAAGCAGCAGGUUAAUACCCCGCUGUUCUGACGGUACCCAAAGAAUAAGCACCGGCUAACUUCGUG
Molecule: ribosomal RNA, 492 nt
Filed under: uncultured bacterium
Lineage: Bacteria
Description: partial 16S ribosomal RNA
Rfam family: Bacterial small subunit ribosomal RNA
Source: RNAcentral